GUCUGUCAGAAACAUGGCUCAGCUGGUUGGAGCGUGGUGCUGAUAACGCCAAUGUUGCAGGUUCGUUUCCCGUAAGGGACA
Non-coding RNA from Podarcis lilfordi (Lilford's wall lizard), 81 nucleotides. The record is from the annotation of a GenBank genome assembly. Lineage: Eukaryota; Metazoa; Chordata; Lepidosauria; Squamata; Lacertidae.